GAUGAACGCUGGCGGCGUGCCUAAUACAUGCAAGUCGAGCGAACAGACGAGGAGCUUGCUCCUUUGACGUUAGCGGCGGACGGGUGAGUAACACGUGGAUAACCUACCUAUAAGACUGGGAUAACUUCGGGAAACCGGAUCUAAUACCGGAUAACAUGUUGAACCGCAUGGUUCAACAGUGAAAGACGGUCUUGCUGUCACUUAUAGAUGGAUCCGCGCCGCAUUAGCUAGUUGGUAAGGUAACGGCUUACCAAGGCAACGAUGCGUAGCCGACCUGAGAGGGUGAUCGGCCACACUGGAACUGAGACACGGUCCAGACUCCUACGGGAGGCAGCAGUAGGGAAUCUUCCGCAAUGGGCGAAAGCCUGACGGAGCAACGCCGCGUGAGUGAAGAAGGUCUUCGGAUCGUAAAACUCUGUUAUUAGGGAAGAACAAAUGUGUAAGUAACUAUGCACGUCUUGACGGUACCUAAUCAGAAAGCCACGGCUAACUACGUG
RNAcentral lists this ribosomal RNA (497 nucleotides) under uncultured bacterium. RNAcentral describes it as "partial 16S ribosomal RNA". It matches the Rfam family "Bacterial small subunit ribosomal RNA", at positions 28 to 507 of the family's 1533-position model. The record is from RNAcentral.